Molecule: long non-coding RNA, 291 nt
Organism: Belonocnema kinseyi
Lineage: Eukaryota; Metazoa; Arthropoda; Insecta; Hymenoptera; Cynipidae
Exons: 2
Source: RefSeq, a predicted model, not a curated record
AGUUUUCCAGGUUCUCACGAUUUUUACUGUUGAUGCCGAGCCCACCUCAGGAACCACAGAAUACUCUCAGUAUGUGCAUUGAAACCCAAAGUUCUUGCCCCAGACAUGCAGAACCUUAGAAAUGGAGAUGUCAUGCAAACACAUUUUAGCAGGGCUAAUUUAAAGCAGCCGUACCAGCCAUAUUCAGGAUGGAAUUGAAAUUUAAAGAAAUUUCUAAAAUUAUUUGAUGUCAAUAUUUAUGUGUUAAAAGUUUGAAUCAAUAAAAAAGUUAUUAUUAUCAAAAAAAAUAUA